RNAcentral lists this long non-coding RNA (975 nucleotides) under Homo sapiens (human). RNAcentral's name for it is "HSALNT0402776". Lineage: Eukaryota; Metazoa; Chordata; Mammalia; Primates; Hominidae. The record is from RNAcentral.
UUGCACCAGUGGCUUCCCCGAGGCUCUCAGGCCCCCGGCCUCAGACUGAAGACUGCACUGCGGGCUUUCCUGGUUUUGAGGCUUUUGGACUUGGACUGAGCCACUACUAGCUUCUCUCUUUCCCUACCUGGCAGACAGCCUGUUGUGGGACUGCCUUCUAACCGUGUGAACCAAUUCUCUCUGGGAGCUUAUAGCUUCAUUGCACUGUGUGUGGCAUUUGGGUCCUGUUUGACAGCAAUGACUGCCUUUCUGUUUAGUGUCUGUGUGCUAUGAAGAUUGCACACAGGGGUCCAGAUGCAUCCUGUUUUGAGAAUGUUAAUGGAUACACCAGCUGCUGCUUUGGAUUUCACCCAUUGGUGGUAGUGGACCCGCUGUUUGGAAUGCAGACAAUUUAAGUGAAGACAUAUCCAUAUAUGUGGCUCUGUUACAAUGGUGAAAUCUACAACCAUAAGAAGGUGCAGCACCAGUUUGAAUUUGAAUACCAGACCAAAGUGGAUGGUGAGAUAAUCCUUCAUCUUUAUGACAAAGGAGGAAUUGAGCAAACAAUUUGUACGUUGGUUGGUGUGUUUGCAUUUGUUUUACUGGAUUCUGCCAAUAAGAAAGUGUCCCUGGACAGAGAUACAUAAGGAGUCAGACCUUUGUUUAAAGCAGUGACAGAAGAUGGAUUUUUGGCUGUGCGUUCAGAAGCUAAAGUUCUGGAGGCCACAAGUCCAAAAUCAAGGUGUGGGCAGAAAUGCGCUCCCUCUGCAGACUCCUGGGGAGGAUGCUUGUUUCUUCCAGCUCUGCGACUGUGGUGCCUGCAGCCAUUGGAACCAGCUCUGCACGGCUCAGACCUGGGUGAUGAGGACACAGCUUUGCAGGUGGGCAGCCACAUCCCCAGGGGGAGACUGUGGGCCUGUGGCAGGGUAGGGGCAACCAGUGCAGGGGCUCCCCAUUGUUGCCCCUGAGCUCCUGGGGCUUGUGGAGAAAGACAGG